GGGCCGUUAGCUCAGCCUGGCUAGAGCACCUGACUUUUAAUCAGGGGGUCGCGAGUUCGAAUCUCGUACGGCCCG
This 75-nucleotide transfer RNA is filed under the name Candidatus Woesearchaeota archaeon. RNAcentral's name for it is "tRNA-Lys". It matches the Rfam family "tRNA". Rfam says of the family: Transfer RNA (tRNA) molecules are approximately 80 nucleotides in length. Their secondary structure includes four short double-helical elements and three loops (D, anti-codon, and T loops). Further hydrogen bonds mediate the characteristic L-shaped molecular structure. tRNAs have two regions of fundamental functional importance: the anti-codon, which is responsible for specific mRNA codon recognition, and the 3' end, to which the tRNAs corresponding amino acid is attached (by aminoacyl-tRNA synthetases). tRNAs cope with the degeneracy of the genetic code in two manners: having more than one tRNA (with a specific anti-codon) for a particular amino acid; and 'wobble' base-pairing, i.e. permitting non-standard base-pairing at the 3rd anti-codon position. The record is from RNAcentral. Lineage: Archaea; Nanobdellati; Candidatus Woesearchaeota.